Long non-coding RNA from Juglans microcarpa x Juglans regia, 409 nucleotides. RefSeq lists it as uncharacterized. The transcript is spliced from 4 exons. Lineage: Eukaryota; Viridiplantae; Streptophyta; Magnoliopsida; Fagales; Juglandaceae. The record is from RefSeq and is a predicted model, not a curated record.
UAUCACCACACUUUUUCACCUAUUUGGCUGAAGAACUAACCAACAAAGACAAGAAAAGGAGCAGUCUCGUAGAAACACAAAUAAUAGGAAAAAAUAGAAGGUCAAACAUACUGAUGGAAGGAAAUCUUUUGUCAGGAUUAUGGAAGAGAGGGGUGAGGAGGCACCGAAUAUGAUUGCAUUUUACAAAGAAACACACUGGUCUAAGGAGAAGGGGAAAUUCAUCAAUGCAGCAAGUGAACACAAUUAUAAUCUGAUGGUAGAGAGGUUGAAUGAGAAAGACACUGAAGAGGCUCAGGAUACUGAUGUUGCUGCUAAUGUUUUCAAAGAGGUCUGAGGGUAUAAAUCUGGCUAUGCACAAGGGCAGGGCCACUCAGUCAUUCCUGAGCCCUCCCCUUUUAUGCAAGAAAAU